RNAcentral lists this transfer RNA (76 nucleotides) under bacterium. RNAcentral describes it as "tRNA-Thr". It matches the Rfam family "tRNA". Rfam says of the family: Transfer RNA (tRNA) molecules are approximately 80 nucleotides in length. Their secondary structure includes four short double-helical elements and three loops (D, anti-codon, and T loops). RNAcentral also lists the same sequence under 4 other names. The record is from RNAcentral.
GCCAGUGUGGCUCAAUUGGCAGAGCAGCUGAUUUGUAAUCAGCAGGUUGCGGGUUCGAGUCCCGCCGCUGGCUCCA